Molecule: transfer RNA, 72 nt
Filed under: Promethearchaeota archaeon
Lineage: Archaea; Promethearchaeati; Promethearchaeota
Also listed under: 5 other names
Description: Candidatus Lokiarchaeota archaeon (marine sediment metagenome) tRNA-Gly
Rfam family: tRNA
About the family: Transfer RNA (tRNA) molecules are approximately 80 nucleotides in length.
Source: RNAcentral
GCGCUCUUAGUAUAGUGGUAAGUAUGCCAGGUUGCCAACCUGGCGACCCGGGUUCAAUUCCCGGAGGGCGCA